CCUACGGGGGGCUGCAGUGGGGAAUAUUGGACAAUGGGGGGAACCCUGAUCCAGCCAUGCUGCGUGUGUGAAGAAGGCCCUCGGGUUGUAAAGCACUUUCAGUGAGGAAGAACGCCUGGUGGUUAAUACCCAUCAGGAAAGACAUCACUCACAGAAGAAGCACCGGCUAACUCCGUGCCAGCAGCCGCGGUAAUACGGAGGGUGCGAGCGUUAAUCGGAAUUACUGGGCGUAAAGCGCGCGUAGGUGGCUUGAUAAGCCGGUUGUGAAAGCCCCGGGCUCAACCUGGGAACGGCAUCCGGAACUGUCAAGCUAGAGUGCAGGAGAGGAAGGUAGAAUUCCCGGUGUAGCGGUGAAAUGCGUAGAGAUCGGGAGGAAUACCAGUGGCGAAGGCGGCCUUCUGGACUGACACUGACACUGAGGUGCGAAAGCGUGGGUAGCAAACAGGAUUAGAUACCCCGGUAGUC
Molecule: ribosomal RNA, 465 nt
Filed under: Vreelandella stevensii
Lineage: Bacteria; Pseudomonadati; Pseudomonadota; Gammaproteobacteria; Oceanospirillales; Halomonadaceae
Description: partial 16S ribosomal RNA
Rfam family: Bacterial small subunit ribosomal RNA
Source: RNAcentral